This 404-nucleotide ribosomal RNA is filed under the name uncultured bacterium. RNAcentral describes it as "bacterial SSU rRNA". It matches the Rfam family "Bacterial small subunit ribosomal RNA", at positions 355 to 776 of the family's 1533-position model. The record is from RNAcentral.
UGGGGAAUAUUGGACAAUGGGCGAAAGCCUGAUCCAGCAAUGCCGCGUGAGUGAUGAAGGCCUUCGGGUUGUAAAGCUCUUUCGCACGCGACGAUAAUGACGGUAGCGUGAGAAGAAGCCCCGGCUAACUUCGUGCCAGCAGCCGCGGUAAUACGAAGGGGGCUAGCGUUGUUCGGAAUUAUUGGGCGUAAAGGGCGCGUAGGCGGUUUUUUAAGUCAGAUGUGUAAUCCCCGAGCUCAACUUGGGAACUGCAUCUGAGACUGGAAGGCUAGAGUACUGGAGAGGGUGGUGGAAUUCCUCGUGUAGCGGUGAAAUGCGUAGAGAUGUGGAGGAAUACCAAUGGCGAAGGCAGCCCCCUGGGAUAAUAUUGACGCUCAUGCACGAAAGCGUGGGGAGCAAACAGG